AAUGUAGUGCCUGAUUUUAAAAGGAUUAUCUUGAUAGGAUAAAUCACGUGUUUUUGACACCUCCAUUA
Molecule: transfer RNA, 68 nt
Filed under: Astenus lyonessius
Lineage: Eukaryota; Metazoa; Arthropoda; Insecta; Coleoptera; Staphylinidae
Description: tRNA-Ile
Source: RNAcentral